Molecule: long non-coding RNA, 398 nt
Filed under: Pan troglodytes (chimpanzee)
Lineage: Eukaryota; Metazoa; Chordata; Mammalia; Primates; Hominidae
Description: long non-coding RNA NONPTRT015058
Source: RNAcentral
UUUGCCCCAUAGCCCGCUCACGGACGCCCGGCCUCACCAGGCCGGAGGAGGAGAAAUUGCGUUCCGGGUAACUUCCCACCCCAUUGAGCCGGAGAACAGUUUCCUAAGUUUUGGGAAGAGUGAAAACCUGUCACCACGAAAAGAAAGGAAAUCUCCUCCAAUUGAAAACAAACAAACAAACAAACAAACCCCAAAAGCUGUUACCGGGGGCUGGGAGGACAGGUAAAGCCAGAUGCAAAGUUAACAGGAAACACUGUUUUCCAAGAUCAUGCAGCAGCCGUAAAAUGUCGCAAUGGUCCCCUCUUUGAGCAAUUGCUGCCUUUUUACGAGUGCGCAGACCCGCUUUGCCACACCCAUCCAUGUACUACUGGGGAUACCGAAGAUCACUCUCUCCUUGU